UUUUUUUAGCAAGGGGUUCAAUUACCAGAGCAAAUAACAGUGGUGAAAAUGAGCAUCCUUGUCUGUUGCCCCUUGAUAAUUGGAAUUUCGUAGAUACUAUGUUAUCAGUUAAUAUUCUAGCCGUAGGCUUAUUAUAUAAUAAUUUUAUCCAUGAAAUGAAGUUCUCUCCCAUUUGAAAUGUUUG
Molecule: long non-coding RNA, 184 nt
Organism: Amblyraja radiata (thorny skate)
Lineage: Eukaryota; Metazoa; Chordata; Chondrichthyes; Rajiformes; Rajidae
Exons: 3
Source: RefSeq, a predicted model, not a curated record